Molecule: ribosomal RNA, 670 nt
Filed under: Verrucosispora sp. 258
Lineage: Bacteria; Bacillati; Actinomycetota; Actinomycetes; Micromonosporales; Micromonosporaceae
Description: bacterial SSU rRNA
Rfam family: Bacterial small subunit ribosomal RNA
Source: RNAcentral
CGAGCGGAAGGCCCUUCGGGGUACUCGAGCGGCGAACGGGUGAGUAACACGUGAGCAACCUGCCCUAGGCUUUGGGAUAACCCUCGGAAACGGGGGCUAAUACCGGAUAUUACUGCUGGACGCAUGUUUGGUGGUGGAAAGUUUUUCGGCCUGGGAUGGGCUCGCGGCCUAUCAGCUUGUUGGUGGGGUGAUGGCCUACCAAGGCGACGACGGGUAGCCGGCCUGAGAGGGCGACCGGCCACACUGGGACUGAGACACGGCCCAGACUCCUACGGGAGGCAGCAGUGGGGAAUAUUGCACAAUGGGCGGAAGCCUGAUGCAGCGACGCCGCGUGAGGGAUGACGGCCUUCGGGUUGUAAACCUCUUUCAGCAGGGACGAAGCGCAAGUGACGGUACCUGCAGAAGAAGCGCCGGCCAACUACGUGCCAGCAGCCGCGGUAAGACGUAGGGCGCGAGCGUUGUCCGGAUUUAUUGGGCGUAAAGAGCUCGUAGGCGGCUUGUCGCGUCGACUGUGAAAACCCGUGGCUCAACUGCGGGCCUGCAGUCGAUACGGGCAGGCUAGAGUUCGGUAGGGGAGACUGGAAUUCCUGGUGUAGCGGUGAAAUGCGCAGAUAUCAGGAGGAACACCGGUGGCGAAGGCGGGUCUCUGGGCCGAUACUGACGCUGAGGA